This 46-nucleotide non-coding RNA is filed under the name Trichobilharzia regenti. The record is from RNAcentral. Lineage: Eukaryota; Metazoa; Platyhelminthes; Trematoda; Strigeidida; Schistosomatidae.
UUACUGCUGAAGAGUCCAAAACCAGGACGAAGCAGCUGUCCAAUAC